Molecule: long non-coding RNA, 1186 nt
Filed under: Jatropha curcas
Lineage: Eukaryota; Viridiplantae; Streptophyta; Magnoliopsida; Malpighiales; Euphorbiaceae
Description: long non-coding RNA (JCUR_LNC001719)
Source: RNAcentral
AUUUUUGUAGCCCCCUCUAUUUUCAAAGUGAGUUUAUGGCUCUUUAAAAUUAUAAAUUUGCUAUAAAUAGACAUCUUUUAGUCUAGCUAGCAGAGCCAGUGAAUUGCAAACUCUAAACCGUGCAUAGGCUUUAAAAGAAUAUAUAAAAAGUUAUAGAUAUGAAAGGAAAACUUGAACCACCGGCCAAUGACCCAAGAGUUGGCAAGAUAGCGUCGACAACGCUUCCUGGUGGAUAGGCAGCUUCUAGAAAAGCAGCAAGUCCCUCAACAUCUGCCAUCACUGCACUCAUGGAGGCAACAGUUAUGAAGACAACACAAGUAAUCUUAUCAUUUAUUUUUCAUUUUUGGGUUAGGCAAAUAACAACAAAGAGCUCUCCAAACAAUUUAUUGAAACUUUUUGUUGAAUCUACUUUUCCUCUGAAUAUAAAUUUUUUCAGUUACCGGAAAAAAUCGAUUUUUGGAGAAAUAUGAAAAGUGAAGAGACUUAGAUAUAAUGGAGGAAGUAUCGUCGGUAAAGAAGCAAUCACAUAGCCGGUGUUGAAAGGAUAUGUGCUGUUGAUAAGCCGCAAUGAAUAUGGCAAGUCCGCAAAUUUAAAAAUAAAAGUCAAUUUUCUACUUUAUUUACAAUUUUAAGUGACCACGGUGUUACUUUAAAAAUAUAAAGGGCCUUUCUGAUAAUUAGAUCGUUAAGUGUUUUUUUGAAAGUUUUAAAGUGAAUUUAUAUAUUUCGUCGUAUAAUUUCUGGAUCCCGUAAAAUCACACACCUACAUAUGCGAAGGGAAACCAUCAAUAAAGCACACGAAUCCAUAAAACGUGUUAAUGCAACCUUUUUGGAUGACUAUGAUGGAAGAAUAGGUAGUGAUGGUGGUCCAUUUUAUAAAGGGCAUAGAUAAAGUUGAAGUCUUUGUCAAAUAUUGAUGGGUGGCGAGCUUCCUUAUACCCUUUAAGGGGCGACAUUCCUAUCAUCUUAAUUUCUUUUAUUGGGAAUUUUCAUAAUCUAAUAAUUGAAUAAAUUUACUCAAUUAUUAUAAUAUUUAUUUUGAAAUCAUUAACAACGAUUCCAAUUCAAAAUAGUUUCUAUUCCGUUUGGUUUCUAAAUUUUUAAUUUUAUCUUGAAAAUUGGCCAGAUGAAAUAAGUUAAAUAAAGAAAAAAGAAAACCCUGCUUCUUUAUUUUCCUUUAUUUUUU